AUGUGGGAAAGCUUUCCUCUCAGGAAAAUGCACACAUCCAACUUUGAGAAGAUGCCCUUGGGGGUGCUUCAAGGAUCCUAGAUAAUAACCCCCUUUCCCGAACAUCCAAGAACCUAAGUUUUUUUUUUUUUUUUGAGAAAGUCUCGCUCUCUCUCCCAUUCUGGAGUGCAGUGGCGUGAUCUUGGCUCACUGCAAGCUCCACCUCCCAGGUUCAAGCCAUUCUCCUGCCUCAGCCUCCCAAGUAGCUGGGGCUACAGGCACCUGCCACCACACCCGGCUAAUUUUUUUGUAUUUUUAGUAGAGACGGGGUUUCACCGUGUUAGCCAGAAUCGUCUUGAUCUCCUGACCUUGUGAUCCACCCGCCUCGGCCUCCCAAAGUGCUGGGAUUACAGGUGUGAGCCACCACGCCUGGUCCAAGAACCCAACUUUUAGAUCUAGAGUGAUGUCAGCAUGACAUUGAUUUCCUGAGGCCCAGGGGUGAAGGAGCUGAGGACAGCAGAGGGGUGAAGGAAGUCAGCUACAGACAGCAGCAGCUGAUGCACAGGCCUCCCAGUGCCUGAAGUCACCCGGAAUUGGGAAGUGCUCAGAAGCUUACAAAGCUGCCUCGAGGAAUCAUUCUAGCCUUCUCGUCUUGCUAAUUUGUAACCUCCCACUUCAACAGUGAGAAAGCUGGUUCCCACCAUCUGCGACUUAUACGGCACCGAAAGCGAAGGAAGCUCCUGCUCCUCCUAAAGCCGAAGCCAAAGCGAAGGCCUUAAAGGCCAAGAAGGCAGUGUUGAAAGGUGUCCGCAGCCACACGCAAAAAAGAAGAUCCGCAUGUCACUCACCUUCAGGCGGCCCAAGACACUGCGACUCCGGAGGCAGCCCAGAUAUCCUCGGAAGAGCACCCCCAGGAGAAACAAGCUUGGCCACUAUGCUAUCAUCAAGUUUCCGCUGACCACUGAGUCGGCCGUGAAGAAGAUAGAAGAAAACAACACGCUUGUGUUCACUGUGGAUGUUAAAGCCAACAAGCACCAGAUCAGACAGGCUGUGAAGAAGCUCUAUGACAGUGAUGUGGCCAAGGUCACCACCCUGAUUUGUCCUGAUAAAGAGAAGGCAUAUGUUCGACUUGCUCCUGAUUAUGAUGCUUUCGAUGUUGUAACAAAAUUGGGAUCACCUAAACUGAGUCCAGCUGGCUAACUCUAAAUAUAUGUGUAUCUUUUCAGCAUAAAAAAAAUAA
This 1219-nucleotide long non-coding RNA is filed under the name Homo sapiens (human). Its description in RNAcentral is "non-protein coding LINC00115:36". Lineage: Eukaryota; Metazoa; Chordata; Mammalia; Primates; Hominidae. The record is from RNAcentral.